CUACUAUAUUUUUAUAUUUUUAUAAGCAGAGAGUUUUUCGUACUCAUAAGUUAUUUUGGAUAAUAUAGCUUCCGAAUCGAUAAUCCACUUUGUUAAAUAUAAGUUAGAGUAUUUAAAAUUUAUAAAAAAUAAAUUUUGUAAUUUUUCAAAAUCAUAAUAACGUUUAUUAAGUAUGUGUAAAAUGAACUGUCAAAAUUGAACAACGUCUUAAAAAUGAAUAAUCGAAUUUUUCAAUUUAAGAUCGGAAUUAUUGAUCUUUAUUUAAAUAGUGAAUAAAUUUUUUAUUAAAAAUUCAAUCUAUUUUUAUUUU
RNAcentral lists this long non-coding RNA (310 nucleotides) under Ananas comosus (pineapple). RNAcentral describes it as "long non-coding RNA (ACOM_LNC004558)". Lineage: Eukaryota; Viridiplantae; Streptophyta; Magnoliopsida; Poales; Bromeliaceae. The record is from RNAcentral.